This 504-nucleotide ribosomal RNA is filed under the name uncultured bacterium. RNAcentral's name for it is "partial 16S ribosomal RNA". It matches the Rfam family "Bacterial small subunit ribosomal RNA", at positions 30 to 523 of the family's 1533-position model. The record is from RNAcentral.
AUUGAACGCUGGCGGCAGGCCUAACACAUGCAAGUCGAACGGUAGCACAGAGAGCUUGCUCUCGGGUGACGAGUGGCGGACGGGUGAGUAACGUCUGGGAAACUGCCCGAUGGAGGGGGAUAACUACUGGAAACGGUAGCUAAUACCGCAUAACGUCGCAAGACCAAAGGGGGGGACCUUCGGGCCUCACACCAUCGGAUGUGCCCAGAUGGGAUUAGCUAGUAGGUGGGGUAAUGGCUCACCUAGGCGACGAUCCCUAGCUGGUCUGAGAGGAUGACCAGCCACACUGGAACUGAGACACGGUCCAGACUCCUACGGGAGGCAGCAGUGGGGAAUAUUGCACAAUGGGCGCAAGCCUGAUGCAGCCAUGCCGCGUGUAUGAAGAAGGCCUUCGGGUUGUAAAGUACUUUAAGCGAGGAGGAAUGGCUGAGGGUUAAUAACCUUCAGCAGUGACGUUACUCGCAGAAUAAGCACCGGCUAACUCUGUGCCAGCCGCCGCGGUAA